UCCUACGGGACGCAGCAGUGGGGAAUAUUGCACAAUGGGGGAAACCCUGAUGCAGCGAUGCCGCGUGGAGGAAGAAGGUUUUCGGAUUGUAAACUCCUUUUAUCAGGGACGAUAAUGACGGUACCUGAAGAAAAAGCUCCGGCUAACUACGUGCCAGCAGCCGCGGUAAUACGUAGGGAGCGAGCGUUAUCCGGAUUUAUUGGGUUUAAAGGGUGCGUAGGCGGGUUAUCAAGUCAGCGGUAAAAUCGUGGAGCUCAACUCCAUCCAGCCGUUGAAACUGAUGAUCUUGAGUGGGCGAGAAGUAU
Molecule: ribosomal RNA, 305 nt
Filed under: uncultured bacterium
Lineage: Bacteria
Description: bacterial SSU rRNA
Rfam family: Bacterial small subunit ribosomal RNA
Source: RNAcentral